This 312-nucleotide unclassified non-coding RNA is filed under the name plant metagenome. RNAcentral's name for it is "partial contains 5.8S ribosomal RNA, internal transcribed spacer 2, and large subunit ribosomal RNA". The stretch from base 1 to 105 matches the Rfam family "5.8S ribosomal RNA", at positions 50 to 154 of the family's 154-position model. The record is from RNAcentral.
GAAAUGCGAUAAGUAAUGUGAAUUGCAGAAUUCCGUGAAUCAUCGAGUCUUUGAACGCACAUUGCGCUCUCUGGUAUUCCGGGGAGCAUGCCUGUCCGAGCGUCAUUACGCACCCUCAAGCCCGGCUUGUGUGAUGGGCCCUGGCGUCUCGUUCGCGAGACGGGCCCGAAAGGCAGCGGCGGCGUCGACCCGAUGAGCCCGAGCGUAUGGGGACUUUUGUCACACGUUUGCGGUGCGGACCGGCGCCUGCUUGACUUUUCUGAUUAUCCAGGUUGACCUCGGAUCAGGUAGGGAUACCCGCUGAACUUAAGC